AUUGAACGCUGCGGCAGGCCUAACACAUGCAAGUCGAACGGUAACAGAAGCAGCUUGCUUGCUUCGCUGACGAGUGCGGACGGGUGAGUAAUGUCUGGGAAACUGCCUGAUGGAGGGGGAUAACUACUGGAAACGGUAGCUAAUACCGCAUAACGUCGCAAGACCAAAGAGGGGGACCUUCGGGUCUCUUGCCAUCGGAUGUGCCCAGAUGGGAUUAGCUAGUAGGUGGGGUAACGGCUCACCUAGGCGACGAUCCCUAGCUGGUCUGAGAGGAUGACCAGCCACACUGGAACUGAGACACGGUCCAGACUCCUACGGGAGGCAGCAGUGGGGAAUAUUGCACAAUGGGCGCAAGCCUGAUGCAGCCAUGCCGCGUGUAUGAAGAAGGCCUUCGGGUUGUAAAGUACUUUCAGCGGGGAGGAAGGCGAUAAGGUUAAUAAC
This 441-nucleotide ribosomal RNA is filed under the name Enterobacter hormaechei. RNAcentral describes it as "bacterial SSU rRNA". It matches the Rfam family "Bacterial small subunit ribosomal RNA", at positions 30 to 467 of the family's 1533-position model. Lineage: Bacteria; Pseudomonadati; Pseudomonadota; Gammaproteobacteria; Enterobacterales; Enterobacteriaceae. The record is from RNAcentral.